RNAcentral lists this ribosomal RNA (611 nucleotides) under Sedimentibacter sp. enrichment clone Lace6. RNAcentral's name for it is "bacterial SSU rRNA". It matches the Rfam family "Bacterial small subunit ribosomal RNA", at positions 73 to 706 of the family's 1533-position model. The record is from RNAcentral. Lineage: Bacteria; Bacillati; Bacillota; Tissierellia.
UCUACAUUUAUGUAGAUAGUGGCGGACGGGUGAGUAACGCGUGAGCAAUCUGCCCUAUACAGAGGAAUAGCCUCGGGAAACCGGGAUUAAACCGCAUGACGCUUUUGUACCGCAUGGUAUAGAAGUCAAAUUGAGUAAGAGGUAUAGGAUGAGCUCGCGUCUGAUUAGCUAGUUGGUAGGGUAAAGGCCUACCAAGGCGACGAUCAGUAGCCGGCCUGAGAGGGUGAACGGCCACACUGGAACUGAGACACGGUCCAGACUCCUACGGGAGGCAGCAGUGGGGAAUAUUGCACAAUGGAGGAAACUCUGAUGCAGCGACGCCGCGUGAGUGAAGAAGGUCUUCGGAUCGUAAAACUCUGUCCUUGGUGAAGAUAAUGACGGUAGCCAAGGAGGAAGCCCCGGCUAACUACGUGCCAGCAGCCGCGGUAAUACGUAGGGGGCUAGCGUUGUCCGGAUUUACUGGGCGUAAAGGGUGAGUAGGCGGUUGCAUAAGUCAGAUGUAAAAGGCUAAGGCUUAACCAUAGUAUGCAUUUGAAACUGUGUGACUUGAGUACAGGAGAGGUAAGCGGAAUUCCUAGUGUAGCGGUGAAAUGCGUAGAUAUUAGGAGGAA